Molecule: ribosomal RNA, 1054 nt
Filed under: uncultured bacterium
Lineage: Bacteria
Description: bacterial SSU rRNA
Rfam family: Bacterial small subunit ribosomal RNA
Source: RNAcentral
CUCCUACGGGAGGCAGCAGUGAGGAAUAUUGGUCAAUGGACGCGAGUCUGAACCAGCCAAGUAGCGUGAAGGAUGACUGCCCUAUGGGUUGUAAACUUCUUUUAUAUGGGAAUAAAGUGGUCCACGUGUGGACUUUUGUAUGUACCAUAUGAAUAAGGAUCGGCUAACUCCGUGCCAGCAGCCGCGGUAAUACGGAGGAUCCGAGCGUUAUCCGGAUUUAUUGGGUUUAAAGGGAGCGUAGGCGGAUUGUUAAGUCAGUUGUGAAAGUUUGCGGCUCAACCGUAAAAUUGCAGUUGAUACUGGCAGUCUUGAGUGCAGUAGAGGUGGGCGGAAUUCGUGGUGUAGCGGUGAAAUGCUUAGAUAUCACGAAGAACUCCGAUUGCGAAGGCAGCUCACUGGAGUGUAACUGACGCUGAUGCUCGAAAGUGUGGGUAUCAAACAGGAUUAGAUACCCUGGUAGUCCACACAGUAAACGAUGAAUACUCGCUGUUUGCGAUAUACAGUAAGCGGCCAAGCGAAAGCAUUAAGUAUUCCACCUGGGGAGUACGCCGGCAACGGUGAAACUCAAAGGAAUUGACGGGGGCCCGCACAAGCGGAGGAACAUGUGGUUUAAUUCGAUGAUACGCGAGGAACCUUACCCGGGCUUAAAUUGCAAAUGAAUUAUGGGGAAACCCAUACGCCGCAAGGCAUUUGUGAAGGUGCUGCAUGGUUGUCGUCAGCUCGUGCCGUGAGGUGUCGGCUUAAGUGCCAUAACGAGCGCAACCCUUAUCUUCAGUUACUAACAGGUCAUGCUGAGGACUCUGGAGAAACUGCCGUCGUAAGAUGUGAGGAAGGUGGGGAUGACGUCAAAUCAGCACGGCCCUUACGUCCGGGGCUACACACGUGUUACAAUGGGGGGUACAGAAGGCCGCUACCUGGUGACAGGAUGCCAAUCCCAAAAACCUCUCUCAGUUCGGAUCGAAGUCUGCAACCCGACUUCGUGAAGCUGGAUUCGCUAGUAAUCGCGCAUCAGCCAUGGCGCGGUGAAUACGUUCCCGGGCCUUGUACACACCGC